GGACUUAUAUUACUAGUCAGAUGGAAAUCUAGUACUAGAAAGAAUAUAAGUCUUUCCUUCUGGGUAAAUUAUUAAAAUUUUAAUAAUUGAACCAGGACGAUUACUUUGAAAAAAUUAGAGUGUUCAAAGCAGGCGAGAAGCAUGAAUAUAUUAGCAUGGAAUAAUAGAAUAGGACGUUUGGACCUAUUUUGUUGGUUUCUAGGACCAUCGUAAUGAUUAAUAGGGACGGUCGGGGGCAUCAGUAUUCAAUUGUCAGAGGUGAAAUUCUUAGAUUUAUUGAAGACUAACUACUGCGAAAGCAUUUGCCAAGGACGUUUUCAUUAAUCAAGAACGAAAGUUAGGGGAUCGAAGA
This 352-nucleotide ribosomal RNA is filed under the name Macrorhabdus ornithogaster. RNAcentral describes it as "SSU rRNA". It matches the Rfam family "Eukaryotic small subunit ribosomal RNA", at positions 636 to 1004 of the family's 1831-position model. The record is from RNAcentral. Lineage: Eukaryota; Fungi; Ascomycota; Saccharomycetes; Saccharomycetales.